This 74-nucleotide transfer RNA is filed under the name Ostreobium quekettii. RNAcentral's name for it is "tRNA-Arg". It matches the Rfam family "tRNA". Rfam says of the family: Transfer RNA (tRNA) molecules are approximately 80 nucleotides in length. Lineage: Eukaryota; Viridiplantae; Chlorophyta; Ulvophyceae; Bryopsidales; Ostreobiaceae. The record is from RNAcentral.
AAGCUAGUAUCUCAGUGGGAAAGAGUCUAUAUUUCCGAAAUAUAGUGUCGAGGGUUCAAACCCCUCCUAGCUUA